ACCUGGUCUUGACAUCCACAGAACUUUCCAGAGAUGGAUUGGUGCCUUCGGGAACUGUGAGACAGGUGCUGCAUGGCUGUCGUCAGCUCGUGUUGUGAAAUGUUGGGUUAAGUCCCGCAACGAGCGCAACCCUUAUCCUUUGUUGCCAGCGAUUAGGUCGGGAACUCAAAGGAGACUGCCAGUGAUAAACUGGAGGAAGGUGGGGAUGACGUCAAGUCAUCAUGGCCCUUACGACCAGGGCUACACACGUGCUACAAUGGCGCAUACAAAGAGAAGCGACCUCGCGAGAGCAAGCGGACCUCAUAAAGUGCGUCGUAGUCCGGAUUGGAGUCUGCAACUCGACUCCAUGAAGUCGGAAUCGCUAGUAAUCGUGGAUCAGAAUGCCACGGUGAAUACGUUCCCGGGCCUUGUACACACCGCCCGUCACACCAUGGGAGUGGGUUGCAAAAGAAGUAGGUAGCUUAACCUUCGGGAGGGCGCUUACCACUUUGUGAUUCAUGACUGGGGUGAAGUCGUAACAAGGUAACCGUAGGGGAACCUGCGGUUGGA
Molecule: ribosomal RNA, 549 nt
Filed under: Salmonella enterica subsp. enterica serovar Typhimurium
Lineage: Bacteria; Pseudomonadati; Pseudomonadota; Gammaproteobacteria; Enterobacterales; Enterobacteriaceae
Description: bacterial SSU rRNA
Rfam family: Bacterial small subunit ribosomal RNA
Source: RNAcentral